This is a long non-coding RNA of Hemicordylus capensis (graceful crag lizard), 567 nucleotides long. RefSeq lists it as uncharacterized. The record is from RefSeq and is a predicted model, not a curated record. NCBI's taxonomy places the organism in Eukaryota, Metazoa, Chordata, Lepidosauria, Squamata, Cordylidae. The transcript is spliced from 4 exons.
CCUCCAAAAUGGCCACCGCGACAAGGGUUAGGCCUGGAAUGGGCUGAAGACCGCCUAAACAGGGUGAUUCACAACAUAACGGAGGUUGGCAGGGGGAGGGGGAACCUCCAGAGGACCCCCCCAGCCUUGGAGAAGCCCCCCAGAGGGACCUGGCUUGUCUCCACCUACUGCUUUUUAUUUACUCUACAGUGGCUUGGCCUACCCUGGCUUCUGAAACAGAUACCUACUAUGGACAUGCAUAUCUCCUGAGAGGGCUCAUCUUUUUUUGAAGUCAAGAUGAGCUGAUUCCAAAACAGAUUAUGCCACUGCAUCAAUCUUUGCAAUCAAGGUCUGCAAAAUAUACAACCAAGUCUUGUGUUCAAGAUCUUCAGUUUGAGUUAGAAGAAGCUAUGCUCCCUGGAUUCCAUGUUGCCAGCGAGGCAAAGAGGACUUCUGCUUUUUAAAGAGGACUUCUACUUUCUGAUACUACAUAUCUUUAUGAUAUCAAUGGGAGCAAGCCAGGUUAUUUCCUUGACUACAUGUCUAUGGUUUUUUGUAUGUGUUAAUAAACCAAGAUGUUUAUUACUA